RNAcentral lists this long non-coding RNA (257 nucleotides) under Elaeis guineensis (African oil palm). Its description in RNAcentral is "long non-coding RNA (EGUI_LNC026925)". Lineage: Eukaryota; Viridiplantae; Streptophyta; Magnoliopsida; Arecales; Arecaceae. The record is from RNAcentral.
GUAGCAAGUUGUAACUUUUCAGACAAUGUGGUGGGUAUUAUUCGUCCAACAUUUGCAGAGUCAAUAUAUUGUAAUAUAAUCUCAUCCGACCAAGCCAAUUGGUAAGGAUCAAUCCCUUUAUAUUGAUGCCAGAAGCGUGAUUUUUGCAUAAAAAGUCAGAUAACUAUUGAUUUUGGAAAAAAAGAAAUUUUUUUUGGCUAAAUAAUAUACAUUUAGAGAUCUUUGAACAAUUUUAUUCCGGUCUAAAGACAAGACAG